RNAcentral lists this transfer RNA (70 nucleotides) under Subdoligranulum variabile. It matches the Rfam family "tRNA". Rfam says of the family: Transfer RNA (tRNA) molecules are approximately 80 nucleotides in length. Their secondary structure includes four short double-helical elements and three loops (D, anti-codon, and T loops). Lineage: Bacteria; Bacillati; Bacillota; Clostridia; Eubacteriales; Oscillospiraceae. The record is from RNAcentral. RNAcentral also lists the same sequence under 6 other names.
GGUCGUAGCUCAGCUGGAUAGAGCGUUGGACUCCGACUCCAAAGGCCAGAGGUUCGAAUCCCCCCGGCCG